CGACCAGAACGGCCCUGCUUUUGUGGGGUGCUCGAGUGGCGAACGGGUGAGUAACACGUGAGUAACCUGCCCUUGACUUUGGGAUAACUUCAGGAAACUGGGGCUAAUACCGGAUAGGAGCUCCUGCUGCAUGGUGGGGGUUGGAAAGUUUCGGCGGUUGGGGAUGGACUCGCGGCUUAUCAGCUUGUUGGUGGGGUAGUGGCUUACCAAGGCUUUGACGGGUAGCCGGCCUGAGAGGGUGACCGGCCACAUUGGGACUGAAAUACGGCCCAGACUCCUACGGGAGGCAGCAGUGGGGAAUAUUGCACAAUGGGCGGAAGCCUGAUGCAGCAACGCCGCGUGCGGGAUGACGGCCUUCGGGUUGUAAACCGCUUUCGCCUGUGACGAAGCGUGAGUGACGGUAAUGGGUAAAGAAGCACCGGUUAACUACGUGCCAGCAGCCGCGGUGAUACGUAGGGUGCGAGCGUUGUCCGGAUUUAUUGGGCGUAAAGGGCUCGUAGGUGGUUGAUCGCGUCGGAAGUGUAAUCUUGGGGCUUAACCCUGAGCGUGCUUUCGAUACGGGUUGACUUGAGGAAGGUAGGGGAGAAUGGAAUUCCUGGUGGAGCGGUGGAAUGCGCAGAUAUCAGGAGGAACACCAGUGGCGAAGGCGGUUCUCUGGGCCUUUCCUGACGCUGAGGAGCGAAAGCGUGGGGAGCGAACAGGCUUAGAUACCCUGGUAGUCCACGCUGUAAACGGUGGGUACUAGGUGUGGGGUCCAUACCAGGGUUCCGUGCCGUAGCUAACGCUUUAACACCCCGCCUGGGGAGUACGGCCGCAAGGCUAAAACUCAAAGGAAUUGACGGGGGCCCCGCACAAGCGGCGGAGCAUGCGGAUUAAUUCGAUGCAACGCGAAGAACCUUACCUGGGUUUGACAUGGAUCGGGGGUGCUCAGAGAUGGGUGUGCCUCUUUUGGGGUCGGUUCACAGGUGGUGCAUGGCUGUCGUCAGCUCGUGUCGUGAGAUGUUGGGUUAAGUCCCGCAACGAGCGCAACCCUUGUUCACUGUUGCCAGCACGUUAUGGUGGGGACUCAGUGGAGACCGCCGGGGUCAACUCGGAGGAAGGUGGGGAUGA
Molecule: ribosomal RNA, 1110 nt
Filed under: Cutibacterium sp.
Lineage: Bacteria; Bacillati; Actinomycetota; Actinomycetes; Propionibacteriales; Propionibacteriaceae
Description: bacterial SSU rRNA
Rfam family: Bacterial small subunit ribosomal RNA
Source: RNAcentral